This 468-nucleotide ribosomal RNA is filed under the name uncultured bacterium. Its description in RNAcentral is "partial 16S ribosomal RNA". It matches the Rfam family "Bacterial small subunit ribosomal RNA", at positions 28 to 507 of the family's 1533-position model. The record is from RNAcentral.
GACGAACGCUGGCGGCGUGCUUAACACAUGCAAGUCGAACGGAAAGGCCCUGCUUUUGUGGGGUGCUCGAGUGGCGAACGGGUGAGUAACACGUGAGUAACCUGCCCUUGACUUUGGGAUAACUUCAGGAAACUGGGGCUAAUACCGGAUAGGAGCUCCUGCUGCAUGGUGGGGGUUGGAAAGUUUCGGCGGUUGGGGAUGGACUCGCGGCUUAUCAGCUUGUUGGUGGGGUAGUGGCUUACCAAGGCUUUGACGGGUAGCCGGCCUGAGAGGGUGACCGGCGACAUUGGGACUGAGAGACGGCCCAGACUCCUACGGGAGGCAGCAGUGGGGAAUAUGACACAAUGGGCGGAAGCCUGAUGCAGCAACGCCGCGUGCGGGAUGACGGCCUUCGGGUUGUAAACCGCUGUCGCCUGUGACGAAGCGGGAGUGACGGUAAUGGGUAAAGAAGCACCGGCUAACUACGUG